UGGCGACCGGCGCACGGGUGAGUAACACGUAUCCAACCUGCCGAUGACUCGGGGAUAGCCUUUCGAAAGAAAGAUUAAUAUCCGAUGGCAUAGUUCUUCCGCAUGGUAGAACUAUUAAAGAAUUUCGGUCAUCGAUGGGGAUGCGUUCCAUUAGGUUGUUGGCGGGGUAACGGCCCACCAAGCCUUCGAUGGAUAGGGGUUCUGAGAGGAAGGUCCCCCACAUUGGAACUGAGACACGGUCCAAACUCCUACGGGAGGCAGCAUG
This 265-nucleotide ribosomal RNA is filed under the name uncultured bacterium. RNAcentral's name for it is "partial 16S ribosomal RNA". It matches the Rfam family "Bacterial small subunit ribosomal RNA", at positions 89 to 353 of the family's 1533-position model. The record is from RNAcentral.